CACAUGGCGCAAAAAAAGGCUCAUGAGCUUCAGGUAAAGAUUCAAAGGACUGGUCUCCAAAGUGCACGAUCCAGACGCUACAGCAGUGGAGAAUCCGUGCAACGCACCGGAUAAAUUCGCACUUCAGAGAAGAUCUGUACACCAAUAACAUCGCGUUGGAGGAUGCUCUCCAUCAUGCUAACUACGUCAUCACUAUGAAGGAUGAUAACCAUGUCUAUAUGAUUAAGCACAACGCGAUGCAGCGCCUUGUAGCCGCAAAGGCGGAAAAUUCUUACGAAGAACCUCGACAAUAUUUAUCCUAUGACAAGCAAGAUAACAAGAAGUUGAUUGUUUAAUAUGUUGUCAAGACCAAACCUAUUGCUUCACCUGCAAUCACAACGACAAAACUUGGAAGGUUUGGGACUAGUAGAUAGACGGAUCAGGUCCUCAAUCUUAUGACGAGAAUAAAUACUGCAACUAUCACAAGCAAAAGAGGCACAUCACCAAAGAGUACAAGCAACUCGCUGAUGCGCUCAAGGAGAAACCACGGGAGAGUCGUCUUGCUCAAGGCCAAAGAGUCAUCUGGAGUGGAUGACUGGGAUCCAUCAUAGGUUAGAGUGGUGUUGGCCUGUUGGGUUCCCCGGUGGCAAUGUUUCUCUACCGAGUCGGGAUGACAUCGAUGGUUUGGAUUGGUGCGUUCGUUGCGGUUGGAUUCGCUGGUUCUGGGAUCCAUUUCAGUCUGGCUGAUAUUUGAUUGGACUCUUGAGUUAGAGACGGAUUUUUUUUAUCGUAUCCCUACAGUCGGAGCCAAUUUGUGGG
RNAcentral lists this long non-coding RNA (798 nucleotides) under Brassica rapa (field mustard). RNAcentral describes it as "long non-coding RNA (BRAP_LNC000383)". The record is from RNAcentral. Lineage: Eukaryota; Viridiplantae; Streptophyta; Magnoliopsida; Brassicales; Brassicaceae.